Hydra vulgaris (swiftwater hydra) is the source of this 498-nucleotide long non-coding RNA. RefSeq lists it as uncharacterized. The record is from RefSeq and is a predicted model, not a curated record. NCBI's taxonomy places the organism in Eukaryota, Metazoa, Cnidaria, Hydrozoa, Anthoathecata, Hydridae.
CACUUCGUAAAGCAGCUGUGGGGUUUUCAUCUUAAUAUUCGAUAUGCAGAGUUAAAAAAAGGGGGUGCGUCACCAUCAAAAACUUUUUGCAAAAAAUUACGAGCUUGAGAUACGAGUUUCACGAACGAGUUAAAGUGAUUGCUCGAGGUGCAUAUUUGGGAAAAAAAGAGAAUAUAGUAAUAUGAAUACGUUUCGGUUAAUUGCUUUGCUGAUCUUUAUAAGUGUACAAGUAUUGUUGGUUCACACCUUUUUAACAGGAGCAAAGUCAGGUGCAUGGAAAGGAAAAAAAGAAGUUCAAAUGAUAAAACUUGAGAAAAAUAACUUUGUUAAACGAGACUUUUAUAAAGCAAAUAAGAUCCGCUAAAAAAAUAUCAAGAAAAUAAUUUGGCAUCUCGUAAAACAAACAGAAUGUAUAAAAAAUAUGAAGAAAAUAAUUUGGCAUCUCGUAAAAUAAACAGAAUGUAUAAAAAAUUUGUAUGAAAAGAUGUAUUAAAAUUA